GGACUAUGGACUGUGGACUGAAACCUCCACAAACUAUCUGCCCCCCGCUACUUACUGUGCGGUGUCCACUGAGCACUUCCUAAGCCAGCCCCAGUGUCCACUUUGCCUUCCUGGAGCUCACAGUCCAGUAAGGUGGAAAGAGCCACAAGCAAGCAUUUCGCCUAACUUACGCUGAGCAGAAUGAACUAAAUACACGGGGGAGCUGUGUGGAGGAUAAUGGCAGAGCCCUCCAGGAAGGGCCUCUCUGAGGAGAUGACGGACCGGAAAUCAAAUGGGAAGGGUUCCCUCCUGUUCCAAGUGAGUUCCAGAGGAAUUACUCACGCUCCUUAACCUAUGAGUCACACAGGAGUCUAGGAGAGUGUUUCCAAAACAGGCGGACAAUCAGAUAAACAGAGCAAUUGAUAGGCGACAGUCGUGGCUGGGGUUACAUCUAGAGCUGAAAGAUGGUGAACCCGAGGAAUCCCUGGACGGCCAGAGCUCUGCAGAACGACUCAGAACGUUUCCUGAAAGUUAAC
Fukomys damarensis (Damara mole-rat) is the source of this 515-nucleotide long non-coding RNA. RefSeq lists it as uncharacterized. The record is from RefSeq and is a predicted model, not a curated record. NCBI's taxonomy places the organism in Eukaryota, Metazoa, Chordata, Mammalia, Rodentia, Bathyergidae. The transcript has 3 exons.